Molecule: small RNA, 27 nt
Filed under: Bombyx mori (domestic silkworm)
Lineage: Eukaryota; Metazoa; Arthropoda; Insecta; Lepidoptera; Bombycidae
Description: piRNA piR-bmo-2062629
Source: RNAcentral
UUACGUUACAUUUUCAUCUGUGUUGCC